UGUAUAUACCUCUUUUUGCUCCAGUAAGGGCAGGGCGUCUAUGAGCAGAGUCAUCCAGAAGCUGCGAGGAGCGAUCUUUGCUGUCAUGAGGGAGAGCAGGAGCUUCGCUGCCUCUGUGAACUUCUUCUCUCCGUACAGCCGGUGGAACUCACGAUGGAGGUAAAGCACAGUGUCGAGUGUGUAAUGUGAAGAUGGAUGUCUCACCUGUGAUGAGAGAAGAGUCCAGAGGCGUACUCCAGCACCAGGAACUCCCUCAGGUGCUUGGGGUUUACAUUAUGACACCUGAAGCGUGUGAUGGUCGACAGGAGUUUGUUGUUAUUUACUGUGACUGCAGGUUUGUGAUCUCUGCUGCUGAGCUCAUCUACAUUCCACCAUUUUAGGUAAAAUGCUUUCUUUAAAGACUAGAAAUGGACAACUAUCAGACCCUGAAGGUGUGUGCCAACUUCUAAAUUAUACAAGCAUUUUUAAAUUGUUUAAAUAUUGUUAUUAUGAUGUUAUAAAUAUUUGCC
Pangasianodon hypophthalmus (striped catfish) is the source of this 509-nucleotide long non-coding RNA. RefSeq lists it as uncharacterized. The record is from RefSeq and is a predicted model, not a curated record. The transcript has 3 exons. NCBI's taxonomy places the organism in Eukaryota, Metazoa, Chordata, Actinopteri, Siluriformes, Pangasiidae.